GAAAUACAAUCUAAUAUGACAAACAUUUACGACAAUAUUAACUUUUGUUGUCUUAGGUUACCAAAGGAGACAAGAUACAACUUUUUAUCGCCUUAUGUUUUUUUUUUUUUUGUCAGUCCUAUUCUAUUCUUACUCUACACUCACUCUCAGACUUUUGUCCUGCCUCGUGCAAGGCGUGGGAGUUGAAACUCACUCUUGAAACUUACGCGUCCCCACCCCAUCCCCCUGAGAAGGUGGGAUUUGAACCCCUUACCUCCCCCUUCUAUGUUGGAAGGGUGGCCACUGGGGUGAAUCCCAGUGGUUCGCCUUAGGUUAUUUAAGGGGGACACAAUAUAGUUUUUAUGACCCAAAGAACCGACCAAAAACGAAAAAACUUGGAGUUUGGCACUUCAGGUCAUGCCCUAAGUCAAUAAUAAUAGUUUCAUCGCCUUAAGUUUAAGUUAAGGAAUAAAGUUCGUAUUUUGUUAACAUUGAUUCAAUAAAAAAUGGGACAAUUUAGAAUCUAUAGUGACACGCGAUCGUUACCCCUUUAAGU
This 535-nucleotide long non-coding RNA is filed under the name Eucalyptus grandis. Its description in RNAcentral is "long non-coding RNA (EGRA_LNC000070)". The record is from RNAcentral. Lineage: Eukaryota; Viridiplantae; Streptophyta; Magnoliopsida; Myrtales; Myrtaceae.